GUUAGCAGCGACGGAGGACGAAGAAAUUUUGCAUCAUAAUGCCUAUCUCAACUUCACAAACACAGCUCACGUAAAAAAUCUGAGACAUGUCCAUCAUUAUUGUCAAAAAUUAUGGUCCUGUCUCUUUCUUCACUUAACUCUUGUCAGCCCAAGAACUUCAACAUUUUGAUGGAUUUUACAUGAUUUUGUGAGUUGACUUCUUUAUUUUUGGGAUUGUUGACGUCGUUGUAGGCUGGUUCCUAAAGUUUAAUUGCUCUAUAUGAUCCACUGUCUUCUUAUCUCUAUAAGUUUCGACUUCAUACUUUUGACCUAUAUAACCGUCUGAACUUAUAACUUUCACUUUAUAGAUGGUUUACUUAUAAGACCAAGACUUAUAACUUAUAGCUGACUUAUUCUGAUUCUGAUUUAUAAGUUUACUUAUAAGUUAUACGUAAUUUGUGCAAACUCUCUAAUAAUUUAGUUUCACAAAUCUAUAGAACACUUGAAAGUAAGCUUACGCUCGGACUGUAUUGCAAUUUUUCUUUAAAUUUUUGUUUAAGUUUUCACAUUUUUUUGAAAGUCGAAGAAAGUCGGGCCAGCCCGAACCUUUGUUUUUGAAACCCGAGCCCGCCCGAGCCCGACUAAUUUUUGAAACCCGGACCCAAGCCCGGUCGGGCCGGGCUGGGCCGGGUCGGGUAGGUGAAUUUCGGGCGGCCCGCACAUCUCUAAAUUAGUUUCAGUCUACC
Molecule: long non-coding RNA, 725 nt
Organism: Bradysia coprophila
Lineage: Eukaryota; Metazoa; Arthropoda; Insecta; Diptera; Sciaridae
Source: RefSeq, a predicted model, not a curated record